RNAcentral lists this ribosomal RNA (2241 nucleotides) under Salmonella enterica subsp. enterica serovar Give. Its description in RNAcentral is "partial 23S ribosomal RNA". It matches the Rfam family "Bacterial large subunit ribosomal RNA", at positions 711 to 2925 of the family's 2925-position model. Lineage: Bacteria; Pseudomonadati; Pseudomonadota; Gammaproteobacteria; Enterobacterales; Enterobacteriaceae. The record is from RNAcentral.
AGACCCGAAACCCGGUGAUCUAGCCAUGGGCAGGUUGAAGGUUGGGUAACACUAACUGGAGGACCGAACCGACUAAUGUUGAAAAAUUAGCGGAUGACCUGUGGCUGGGGGUGAAAGGCCAAUCAAACCGGGAGAUAGCUGGUUCUCCCCGAAAGCUAUUUAGGUAGCGCCUCGUGAAUUCAUCUCCGGGGGUAGAGCACUGUUUCGGCUAGGGGGCCAUCCCGGCUUACCAACCCGAUGCAAACUGCGAAUACCGGAGAAUGUUAUCACGGGAGACACACGGCGGGUGCUAACGUCCGUCGUGAAGAGGGAAACAACCCAGACCGCCAGCUAAGGUCCCAAAGUCAUGGUUAAGUGGGAAACGAUGUGGGAAGGCCCAGACAGCCAGGAUGUUGGCUUAGAAGCAGCCAUCAUUUAAAGAAAGCGUAAUAGCUCACUGGUCGAGUCGGCCUGCGCGGAAGAUGUAACGGGGCUAAACCAUGCACCGAAGCUGCGGCAGCGACACUAUGUGUUGUUGGGUAGGGGAGCGUUCUGUAAGCCUGUGAAGGUGGCCUGUGAGGGUUGCUGGAGGUAUCAGAAGUGCGAAUGCUGACAUAAGUAACGAUAAAGCGGGUGAAAAGCCCGCUCGCCGGAAGACCAAGGGUUCCUGUCCAACGUUAAUCGGGGCAGGGUGAGUCGACCCCUAAGGCGAGGCCGAAAGGCGUAGUCGAUGGGAAACGGGUUAAUAUUCCCGUACUUGGUGUUACUGCGAAGGGGGGACGGAGAAGGCUAUGUUGGCCGGGCGACGGUUGUCCCGGUUUAAGCGUGUAGGUGUGUGUUCCAGGUAAAUCCGGUUCACUUUAACACUGAGGCGUGAUGACGAGGCACUACGGUGCUGAAGCAACAAAUGCCCUGCUUCCAGGAAAAGCCUCUAAGCAUCAGGUAACAUCAAAUCGUACCCCAAACCGACACAGGUGGUCAGGUAGAGAAUACCAAGGCGCUUGAGAGAACUCGGGUGAAGGAACUAGGCAAAAUGGUGCCGUAACUUCGGGAGAAGGCACGCUGACACGUAGGUGAAGUGAUUUACUCAUGGAGCUGAAGUCAGUCGAAGAUACCAGCUGGCUGCAACUGUUUAUUAAAAACACAGCACUGUGCAAACACGAAAGUGGACGUAUACGGUGUGACGCCUGCCCGGUGCCGGAAGGUUAAUUGAUGGGGUCAGCGCAAGCGAAGCUCCUGAUCGAAGCCCCGGUAAACGGCGGCCGUAACUAUAACGGUCCUAAGGUAGCGAAAUUCCUUGUCGGGUAAGUUCCGACCUGCACGAAUGGCGUAAUGAUGGCCAGGCUGUCUCCACCCGAGACUCAGUGAAAUUGAACUCGCUGUGAAGAUGCAGUGUACCCGCGGCAAGACGGAAAGACCCCGUGAACCUUUACUAUAGCUUGACACUGAACAUUGAGCCUUGAUGUGUAGGAUAGGUGGGAGGCUUUGAAGUGUGGACGCCAGUCUGCAUGGAGCCGACCUUGAAAUACCACCCUUUAAUGUUUGAUGUUCUAACGUGGACCCGUGAUCCGGGUUGCGGACAGUGUCUGGUGGGUAGUUUGACUGGGGCGGUCUCCUCCUAAAGAGUAACGGAGGAGCACGAAGGUUGGCUAAUCCUGGUCGGACAUCAGGAGGUUAGUGCAAUGGCAUAAGCCAGCUUGACUGCGAGCGUGACGGCGCGAGCAGGUGCGAAAGCAGGUCAUAGUGAUCCGGUGGUUCUGAAUGGAAGGGCCAUCGCUCAACGGAUAAAAGGUACUCCGGGGAUAACAGGCUGAUACCGCCCAAGAGUUCAUAUCGACGGCGGUGUUUGGCACCUCGAUGUCGGCUCAUCACAUCCUGGGGCUGAAGUAGGUCCCAAGGGUAUGGCUGUUCGCCAUUUAAAGUGGUACGCGAGCUGGGUUUAGAACGUCGUGAGACAGUUCGGUCCCUAUCUGCCGUGGGCGCUGGAGAACUGAGGGGGGCUGCUCCUAGUACGAGAGGACCGGAGUGGACGCAUCACUGGUGUUCGGGUUGUCAUGCCAAUGGCACUGCCCGGUAGCUAAAUGCGGAAGAGAUAAGUGCUGAAAGCAUCUAAGCACGAAACUUGCCCCGAGAUGAGUUCUCCCUGAGACUUAAAGUCUCCUGAAGGAACGUUGAAGACGACGACGUUGAUAGGCCGGGUGUGUAAGCGCAGCGAUGCGUUGAGCUAACCGGUACUAAUGAACCGUGAGGCUUAACCUUACA